Long non-coding RNA from Raphanus sativus (radish), 431 nucleotides. RefSeq lists it as uncharacterized. The transcript has 4 exons. Lineage: Eukaryota; Viridiplantae; Streptophyta; Magnoliopsida; Brassicales; Brassicaceae. The record is from RefSeq and is a predicted model, not a curated record.
AAGUCUCAAGGUCUUCUUCUCUUCAUCUUUCUCUCUUUUCUUUUCUCUCACGAGACUUGAUUUUUUUCCCGAUCUCACGAGACCUCGAGACCUUCAUCAUCAAUCAUCAAUCACGACCUCGAGACCUUCAUCAUCAAUCACGCCACCGUCGCAAUCUCCGUAGCUCUAAAGGAUGAUGAAGGUGAAACUGUUGUUAUUAGAUCGAGUCCAACUGAUCUGGAAGAUGUGAUCACACAGCCACCAGAAUGAGUCGUAACGUCUCCGUUAUGAAGUAAAGCAAAGUGAGUCGUAACGUCUCCGUCUCUCUUGGUAAUACUUGUUGUGUGGUCGUAGAGAAUUGUGGGAGAAAGCUGUUAGGUGAGGGUGCAAUCUUACCACUGAAGCUAGCUUACUGAGAUGAAAUCAUAUCUAUCAGUAAAUCAUAUGCAACA